This is a long non-coding RNA of Epinephelus moara (kelp grouper), 597 nucleotides long. RefSeq lists it as uncharacterized. NCBI's taxonomy places the organism in Eukaryota, Metazoa, Chordata, Actinopteri, Perciformes, Serranidae. The transcript has 4 exons. The record is from RefSeq and is a predicted model, not a curated record.
GACUCACGCCAGCUGAGCGAUGGCUCUGUCCAGAUGUCGUCUCAUCCUUUCCUGACAUGACUUGAUGACUUCCACUUCCUUGUUGCAAUGCAGUGACCCUGACCUGCACCUUUUGCUGCUGACACUGACUCCCAUUCAUCAAUGCUGAGUUGCACCACGAAGAGCGUCGGCAGUUAACACCCACGAUGAAAGACCAGAAGGCCAUGCAGUUGCAACAAAAUCCAGAAGACCAAAUGUCAGGACAGUCUCCAGUCAUCCCCUGCCGGCCUCCUAUACAGCAUGGGAUAAAGUCCUCACCAGGCUGAUGAAGGACACAGAGGACGCCAGAGGGCUCAUUGUUGUCCCUCCAUAUGGGACAGCCUGGAGCUGAUUGACUAAAGGCAGGUUUGACAUUCAAAUGAGAUGCAGAUUUCACACCGUUUGCUUUACUUCAGCCUACAUCUGUUCUCUGAGCCCACACAGUACUCUAUAAACUAUACAAGACACAUUAACUACAGCUGAGUCAUUACUUAAAGUCGUCACUGGCAGAACUACCUUAAAUAAGUAUAAUACAACAGGACAUUAUGACUCAGCCAACUCUAAAACAAUAAUUACAAG